CCUACGGGGAGGCAGCAGUGGGGAAUCUUAGACAAUGGGGGCAAGCCUGAUCUAGCCAUGCCGCGUGAGUGACGAAGGCCAUAGGGUCGUAAAGCUCUUUCGCCAGAGAUGAUAAUGACAGUAUCUGGUAAAGAAACCCCGGUUAACUCCGUGCCAGCACCCGCGGUAAUACGGAGGGGGUUAGCGUUGUUCGGAAUUACUGGGCGUAAAGCGCACGUAGGCGGAUUUUUAAGUUAGAGGAGAAAUCCCAGGGCUCAACCCUGGAACUGCCUUUAAUACUGGGAGUCUUGAGUUCGAGAGAGGUGAGUGGAAUUCCGAGUGUAGAGGUGAAAUUCGUAGAUAUUGGGAGGAACACCAGUGGGGAAGGCGGCUCACUGGCUCGAUACUGACGCUGAGGUGAGAAAGUGUGGGGAGCAAACAGGAUUAGAUACCCUGGUAGUCCCCCCCGUAAACGAUGAAUGCCAGUCGUCGGGCGGCAUGCCUUUUGGUGUCACACCUAACGGAUAAGCAUCC
This 513-nucleotide ribosomal RNA is filed under the name uncultured bacterium. Its description in RNAcentral is "bacterial SSU rRNA". It matches the Rfam family "Bacterial small subunit ribosomal RNA", at positions 338 to 869 of the family's 1533-position model. The record is from RNAcentral.